Molecule: ribosomal RNA, 164 nt
Filed under: Sambucus australasica
Lineage: Eukaryota; Viridiplantae; Streptophyta; Magnoliopsida; Dipsacales; Adoxaceae
Description: 5.8S ribosomal RNA
Rfam family: 5.8S ribosomal RNA
About the family: 5.8S ribosomal RNA (5.8S rRNA) is a component of the large subunit of the eukaryotic ribosome. It is transcribed by RNA polymerase I as part of the 45S precursor that also contains 18S and 28S rRNA.
Source: RNAcentral
CAAACUACUCUGGGCAACGGAUAUCUCGGCUCUCGCAUCGAUGAAGAACGUACCGAAAUGCGAUACUUGGUGUGAAUUGCAGAAUCCCGUGAAACAUCUAGUUUUUGAACGCAAUUUGCGCCCGAAGCCAUUAGGCCGAGGGCACGUCUGCCUGGGCGUCACAC